This is a non-coding RNA of Phascolarctos cinereus (koala), 227 nucleotides long. The record is from RefSeq and is a predicted model, not a curated record. NCBI's taxonomy places the organism in Eukaryota, Metazoa, Chordata, Mammalia, Diprotodontia, Phascolarctidae.
CCAAACUCUAUACUACCAGGCCAGGAUUUUCAACACUGUAUCACAUACCUUCUUGGUUGCUGGCAUUUUGUGCUUCCUCCCUGAAGUGAUACACAAGAUCUGCCAUGCUCCCUCCUGAUUCAACCACGCUGGUGAACCCAGAAGCCCCAGGAAAAAGCUUGCCAUGGCCACAACUACUGUUUUCUGGGAUAGUGCCUUGUCCCCAAAAGUAACUUGUGUGAAUCAAG